UUUUUCUGUCUCUCGGCGUACGUUUUAUUGUUGUGUAUUAGAAAAAUAUUAUAUCAUAUUAUUAUACUGCGCACACACCUUUUCAUAUAAUAUUAUUGUGUGCACUGUGUGUACAUUCAUUCGUGUACCUAAGAGUAUGUUUGAGUGUGUGUGAGUAUGUCAGGACGGCCAUACGCGUGUAGACUGUAGAUGGUAUUAUUGUAUAUGUGUGUCACUGGCACGACCCGCGGAUAAAGGAUAUAAUAAAAAUGUCACGGAAAAGAAUAACAGUAUGUAUAUGUGUAAUGUGUAUAUGGCGUGCAACGGGGUCGAAGAGUACCGUAAAUUUUUUACCAGCGCUCCCGACAGUCGUCUACACCGCGCACGCGCGGCACAUCUGCGAUACAUGGAUAGACACUUAACCCGAUGAGCUUUUCCUCAUAAAUAUAGACUCGUACAGAUACCUAACGUAAGAAGUAUAAAAAAGUAAGUACAAAUAUUAAUAAUUGCGGUCUUUCUUGUUGAGGCCGAACCAUUAUAGCUCAAAACUCGUUUUACAUGGAGCUCGUCUUCACUCUUCAAUAAUUUUGGGCACAUGACGUUGCUAUCUGGGGUCCUGCAAAGUCCUUAAAUUAAAAGAACUAUUCAAGCUUUCCUCAGAACAUCUGCCUUCUCAUCACCGACGGAGCGUCCUGGCAUGUACCAAUAUAAUAAUUAUAAGUUUUUACAAACGCUUUUAAGUAAAACUUUGUUUAAAUUCCAGUCAACAAAUUUCACGGAAGUUAUCUAUAAAGAAAGUUUCCAUGCAGUGAUUCCAUCCAGAAGACUCAAAUAUCAUAAUGAUCUGAUUAUCUACUUAAAUAAUCAAAUCGUCAACUCUAUGCUGGUCUUCAGCUGCGAGAUUUUCUUUUGAUCCAUUCACAGCGGUAUCCUUGAAAAUAAACUACCGCUACUAUUGUUGUGUUAUAUUUGUAUUUUUUUUAAAUACAACUUAAGAGCCUGUUUAUUUCAUAAAAAUAAAAUUGUAAUUUAAAUUGGA
Long non-coding RNA from Myzus persicae (green peach aphid), 1018 nucleotides. RefSeq lists it as uncharacterized. NCBI's taxonomy places the organism in Eukaryota, Metazoa, Arthropoda, Insecta, Hemiptera, Aphididae. The transcript is spliced from 2 exons. The record is from RefSeq and is a predicted model, not a curated record.